UUCCGGUUGAUCCUGCCGGACCCUACUGCUAUCGGGAUGAGACUAAAACAUGCUAGUUGUGCGCACCCUAGCUAUGUUGGGAGCGCAGCGAACGGCUCCGUAACACGUAGUCAAUCUAACCUUAGGACUGGAAUAACCCCGGGAAACUGGGGCUAAUACCUGAUAGGUGAAAUAAUCUGGAAUGACUUUUCGCUUAAAGAGUUCUGGGAACAUGCUCCUUUAACUGCCUAAGGAUGAGACUGCGUCCGAUCAGGUUGUUGGUGGGGUAACGGCCUACCAAGCCUAUAACCGGUACGGGCCCUGAGAGGGGGAGCCCGGAGAUGGGAACUGAGACAAGGUCCCAGACCCUAAGGGGUGCAGCAGUUGCGAAAACUCUACAAUGCACGAAAGUGUGAUAGGGUUAUCCCGAGUGCCGUCCGAUGAGGAUGGCUUUUCCCUGGUGUAAGGAGCCGGGGGAAUAAAGGGGGGGCAAGACUGGUGUCAGCCGCCGCGGUAAUACCAGCCCCCUGAGUGGUAGGGAUGAUUAAUUGGCCUAAAGCGUCCGUAGCCGGCUUAGCAAGUCUUUCGUUAAAUCCGGUGACUUAAUCGUCGGGCUGCGAGAGAUACUACUAGGCUUGAGGGCGGGAGAGGUUGACGGUAUUUCGGGGGUAGGGGUAAAAUCCUAUAAUCCCGGGAGGACCACCAGUGGCGAAGGCUGUCGGCUAGAACGCGCUCGACGGUGAGGGACGAAAGCUGGGGGAGCGAACCGGAUUAGAUACCCGGGUAGUCCCAGCCGUAAACGAUGCGGGCUAGGUGUUGGGGUGGCUACGAGCCACUUCAGUGCCGCAGGGAAGCCAUUAAGCCCGCCGCCUGGGGAGUACGGCCGCAAGGCUGAAACUUAAAGGAAUUGGCGGGGGAGCACCACAAGGCGUGAAGCUUGCGGUUCAUUGGAAUCACGCCGGAAAUC
Molecule: ribosomal RNA, 946 nt
Filed under: uncultured archaeon
Lineage: Archaea
Description: bacterial SSU rRNA
Rfam family: Archaeal small subunit ribosomal RNA
Source: RNAcentral